This 380-nucleotide ribosomal RNA is filed under the name uncultured eukaryote. Its description in RNAcentral is "partial 18S ribosomal RNA". It matches the Rfam family "Eukaryotic small subunit ribosomal RNA", at positions 592 to 976 of the family's 1831-position model. The record is from RNAcentral.
CAAUAGCGUAUAUUAAAGUUGUUGCGGUUAAAAAGCUCGUAGUUGGAUUUCUGCUGAGAACGACCGGUCCGCCCAUUGGGUGUGUAUCUGGCUCUUUCUUGGCAUCUUCUUGGCGAACGUUGCUGCACUUGACUGUGUGGAGCGCUACCCAGGACUUUUACUUUGAGGAAAUUAGAGUGUUUCAAGCAGGCAUACGCCUUGAAUACAUUAGCAUGGAAUAAUAAGAUAGGACCUCGGUUCUAUUUUGUUGGUUUCUAGAGCUGAGGUAAUGAUUAAUAGGGAUAGUUGGGGGCAUUCGUAUUUAACUGUCAGAGGUGAAAUUCUUGGAUUUGUUAAGGACGGACUACUGCGAAAGCAUUUGCCAAGGAUGUUUUCAUUGA